UAAUAUAUAUAUUUACAGCGACAUGUAUCAUAUAUAUGUGUUUUCGGUUAAUGUAAUUAUAGGCAUAUUCUCAUGUCAAUCAUAUUUACAUAGAUAUAUAAACGCGUUUACAUAAAAAUUUUAUAUUUUCAAUGCUUCAAUUAUAGGAAUAUGCCAAUUAUACGAACAAGCUAUCAAAGAAAAUGACCCGUCAGUACAAAGAAUAACGUAUAAUAUGAAUGAUUUGUUUUUAUACAUUGAUAACAUGCAAAAAAUGACUAUUAUGUUGUUUCACCCAGAUACAUGGACGUACAAGCCUCAUGAUAAAAAGUGGAUAAAACAUAAACUUGUAGAACAUAUUAAAGAUCAAAUAGGACACUAAUGUAAAUUAAAGAGAAGAUAUUGUUAUUUUUGAAUUAAUAUAUAAAUAAAUAAACAAAUAAAUGAAUGAAUAAACAAAUAAAUAUAUAUAUAUAUAUAUAUAUAUAUAUAUAUAUAUAUAUAUAUAUAUAUAUAUGUAUAUAUUCAUAUGUGUAUGUAAUAAUUUAUAUUUAUUUAUUUGCUUAUCACAUUUCCAUCUUCUUUCUUGGGUGUUUUUAACUUAUCCUAUAAACAAGUAUUUUGUUUUUAACAUUACAUAAAAUAUCAAUGUUUUUUUUUUAUUUUAUCAAGCACAAUU
Molecule: long non-coding RNA, 658 nt
Filed under: Piliocolobus tephrosceles (Ugandan red Colobus)
Lineage: Eukaryota; Metazoa; Chordata; Mammalia; Primates; Cercopithecidae
Description: lncRNA (ENSPTEG00000015973.1)
Source: RNAcentral